Molecule: ribosomal RNA, 914 nt
Filed under: Bacillus sp. (in: firmicutes)
Lineage: Bacteria; Bacillati; Bacillota; Bacilli; Caryophanales; Bacillaceae
Description: bacterial SSU rRNA
Rfam family: Bacterial small subunit ribosomal RNA
Source: RNAcentral
AUAGACAUGCAAGUCGAGCGAACAGAAGGGAGCUUGCUCCCGGAUGUUAGCGGCGGACGGGUGAGUAACACGUGGGUAACCUGCCUGUAAGACUGGGAUAACUCCGGGAAACCGGAGCUAAUACCGGAUAGUUCCUUGAACCGCAUGGUUCAAGGAUGAAAGACGGUUUCGGCUGUCACUUACAGAUGGACCCGCGGCGCAUUAGCUAGUUGGUGGGGUAAUGGCUCACCAAGGCGACGAUGCGUAGCCGACCUGAGAGGGUGAUCGGCCACACUGGGACUGAGACACGGCCCAGACUCCUACGGGAGGCAGCAGUAGGGAAUCUUCCGCAAUGGACGAAAGUCUGACGGAGCAACGCCGCGUGAGUGAUGAAGGUUUUCGGAUCGUAAAGCUCUGUUGUUAGGGAAGAACAAGUGCGAGAGUAACUGCUCGCACCUUGACGGUACCUAACCAGAAAGCCACGGCUAACUACGUGCCAGCAGCCGCGGUAAUACGUAGGUGGCAAGCGUUGUCCGGAAUUAUUGGGCGUAAAGGGCUCGCAGGCGGUUUCUUAAGUCUGAUGUGAAAGCCCCCGGCUCAACCGGGGAGGGUCAUUGGAAACUGGGAAACUUGAGUGCAGAAGAGGAGAGUGGAAUUCCACGUGUAGCGGUGAAAUGCGUAGAGAUGUGGAGGAACACCAGUGGCGAAGGCGACUCUCUGGUCUGUAACUGACGCUGAGGAGCGAAAGCGUGGGGAGCGAACAGGAUUAGAUACCCUGGUAGUCCACGCCGUAAACGAUGAGUGCUAAGUGGUUAGGGGGUUUCCGCCCCUUAGUGCUGCAGCUAACGCAUUAAGCACUCCGCCUGGGGGAGUACGGUCGCAAGACUGAAACUCAAAGGAAUUGACGGGGGCCCGCACAAGCGGUGGAAGCAUGU